GCCCGGGUGGCGAAAUCGGUAGACGCAGCGGACUUAAAAUCCGCCUUCUGGAAACGGAAGUACGGGUUCGAGUCCCGUCCCGGGCACCA
This 89-nucleotide transfer RNA is filed under the name Pelomonas sp. Root1237. Its description in RNAcentral is "tRNA-Leu". It matches the Rfam family "tRNA". From Rfam's summary of the family: Transfer RNA (tRNA) molecules are approximately 80 nucleotides in length. Lineage: Bacteria; Pseudomonadati; Pseudomonadota; Betaproteobacteria; Burkholderiales; Sphaerotilaceae. The record is from RNAcentral.